RNAcentral lists this ribosomal RNA (254 nucleotides) under uncultured bacterium. RNAcentral describes it as "partial 16S ribosomal RNA". It matches the Rfam family "Bacterial small subunit ribosomal RNA", at positions 524 to 776 of the family's 1533-position model. The record is from RNAcentral.
CACGUAGGCACCAAGCGUUAUCCGGAUUUAUUGGGCGUAAAGAGCUCGUAGGCGGUUCGGUAAGUCGGGUGUGAAAACUCUGGGCUCAACCCAGAGAGGCCACCCGAUACUGCUGUGACUAGAGUGCGGUAGGGGAGCGGGGAAUUCCUGGUGUAGCGGUGAAAUGCGUAGAUAUCAGGAGGAACACCGGUGGUGUAGACGGCUUUCUGGACCGUAACUGACGCUGAAACACGAAAGCGUGGGUAGCAAACAGG